GACACCACUCGCCCGCCUCUCUUUUUUUCCUUCUGGAAGCCAAGGGUGGCGAGCGGACUCUGCGUGUUCCGGAGCUUCCGACGCCUUCAUUGCGCGUCCGGAAACCCCUCCGAGUGCACCGAAUCUCGUGAACGAAACCUCUCUUCUGCCUGCGGCCUUGGUUGCGCAGAGUUGUUGACGGCGCUCGUGCCCCUAUUCAUUUAUGGGUUCGGCGACUCUCGGCUCGAUCAAAAGCGCGGCGAAGCGUCUCUGUGGAGGGGGGGUUGGUGUUUUUCCGGCGGGSCCCUCGUGGCCGUCCCUCCGCGUUUUACUACUUUCGUUCG
Molecule: ribosomal RNA, 323 nt
Filed under: Himantothallus grandifolius
Lineage: Eukaryota; Phaeophyceae; Desmarestiales; Desmarestiaceae
Description: nuclear rRNA
Source: RNAcentral